UUGACAUGGUAAUGAGAAUCGCUAUUAUUAGCGCAUCCGGUCGCGAGACUGGUCGAUAUUUGAAAAGCCCUUGGUUCGGACUCUCAGAUAUCUCCUCAUCAGGCUAAUCACGGUUAUUUGACCCGACUUUUGUCGGGUCUUUUUUUG
Molecule: small RNA, 147 nt
Filed under: Pseudomonas sp. NFACC39-1
Lineage: Bacteria; Pseudomonadati; Pseudomonadota; Gammaproteobacteria; Pseudomonadales; Pseudomonadaceae
Description: PrrF RNA
Rfam family: PrrF RNA
About the family: PrrF RNA is a small RNA involved in iron homeostasis and is found exclusively in Pseudomonas species.
Source: RNAcentral